RNAcentral lists this transfer RNA (68 nucleotides) under Marmota monax (woodchuck). RNAcentral describes it as "tRNA.Ala". The stretch from base 5 to 65 matches the Rfam family "tRNA", at positions 6 to 65 of the family's 71-position model. From Rfam's summary of the family: Transfer RNA (tRNA) molecules are approximately 80 nucleotides in length. The record is from RNAcentral. Lineage: Eukaryota; Metazoa; Chordata; Mammalia; Rodentia; Sciuridae.
GGAUUGUGGCCCAGUGGUAGAGCGCUCACCUUGCACAUGUGGGACCCUGAGUUCGAUCCUCAGCACCA